RNAcentral lists this transfer RNA (93 nucleotides) under Aneurinibacillus aneurinilyticus. RNAcentral describes it as "tRNA-Ser". It matches the Rfam family "tRNA". From Rfam's summary of the family: Transfer RNA (tRNA) molecules are approximately 80 nucleotides in length. Their secondary structure includes four short double-helical elements and three loops (D, anti-codon, and T loops). Further hydrogen bonds mediate the characteristic L-shaped molecular structure. tRNAs have two regions of fundamental functional importance: the anti-codon, which is responsible for specific mRNA codon recognition, and the 3' end, to which the tRNAs corresponding amino acid is attached (by aminoacyl-tRNA synthetases). tRNAs cope with the degeneracy of the genetic code in two manners: having more than one tRNA (with a specific anti-codon) for a particular amino acid; and 'wobble' base-pairing, i.e. permitting non-standard base-pairing at the 3rd anti-codon position. Lineage: Bacteria; Bacillati; Bacillota; Bacilli; Caryophanales; Paenibacillaceae. The record is from RNAcentral. RNAcentral also lists the same sequence under 6 other names.
GGAGAUGUACCCAAGUCCGGCUGAAGGGGACUGACUCGAAAUCAGUUAGGCGUCUUGCGGCGCGCGGGGGUUCGAAUCCCUCCAUCUCCGCCA